AGAUAUCUUCUUCACAUUGAUAAUACCUAAAUCAGAGGUGGGUUUCACACCCAAAAAGAACUUUUGCUCGCUGAACUGGAUCUCCGUGUUGCUACGCGGUCGGUCCGAAUCACUUGAUUCUGGUGACGUUGGAAUCGUCUUGGCGAGAAGGUCUUGAUUCGAUGCUCAAAACUUAGUUUUGACCGAAUCAAUUUCUGGGCAGCAACAAAGAAAAAACAGAAUCUAUUUGUUUUUCUUUUUGCCGGAAAGUCGUCGCCGGAGUUGCUGGGCGUUGUUUUGGUGAUUGGGAGUACUUCACUCUUGCACUCAAAAAAUUGAUUUUUGAGGGAGCUAACUUUCUAUUUGAAAAUAGCAGGUUGAAGGUAUGUUUUUUGUGAUAGUGAUUAUUUUUUUUGGGAUGAACCUGGCUCUGAUACCACUUGUUGGGUGGAGAAGUAUUGAUCACACACUUAUAAUGUAUGAAACUCACAAGAGAAUUGCACAAACACACUCACGGUAUAUUUAACUCACUCGAUCUGAAAAUACAAGUAGAAAAUUUCUAUUUCUCUCUCUAUCUCUCUGAUUCUCUUUUACUCCACUCAUACUUUUACAAUCAGAUUUCCAGUCCAUAUAUAGGUAGAACCAUAAGAAAAAACAAGAAUGAAAUAAUCACUCAUUUAUUGCAAAUCUCAAAAUAUAUCACGGAACCUCCAAAAUCUUCAGAAAUCUUCAAGCCUGAUAUUGAACAGUUCACCCAUGUGUUUUUCAAGGGCUGCUCAAGUUUAUCCUUUCAACAAAUUCUACAUUUGUCCAUCAAUCUGCUCGUCCCCUAUCUUUUCCAUUUACUUGAUCAAUCAGCUAUUGGAGAGAGUGAGAGAGAUGGGUGACAUUACUGUUGACUCUUUCCAAGAGACCUUGAAGCAACUUAUAACGAGAUCCAAGCUCGGUUUGACCAUAGACGAGAAACGUCAACUUCAAUCACUUCAGGAGGAAAUAGAGUAUCUUGGAGGAUUCCUCAAGGUUACGGAGAAGAAACGCAACGAGCAUUCAAAACUGAUGGAACUUGUGAUGCAAAUCAGAGACGUGGUAUUCGAGGCAGAAAACAUCAUAGAUCUGUUUGUAGGUCGCGAUUUCAAGAGGCCUAAUGCAUAUCAAUAUCUUGAUCAUCCUAGUCUUGAUCUUGAAAGUGUCAAAAAGAAAAUCAAGACUCUUAUGGCUAAGGUGAAGCAAAUUUACGACAUGACGAUGUAUGACAUUAAUGGAGUAGCAGUAAAAAUACCCAAGCACUCUUCUACAGGAAGUGAAGGUAUUGGCGGUGCAGGUUCAUCAGGAGGGAGUAACACAUCCAAAUUGGUAAAAGAGAAUGUGGUGGUGGGUUUUAAGGAGGAGGUAAUCAAAGUAAUAGAGAAGCUUGACGACAGAGGAGAGGGCAGACCGCUGGAGAUUAUAACAAUUAUUGGCGUAGGAGGAGGCGGCAAAACCACUUUGGCUAGAGAAGUAUAUGAUCAUCGUUUCACGUUACAUACCUUUGGAAUUCGUGCAUGGGUUGAUGUUUCCCAAGAUUAUAAUAAGACUAUGAAAAGGAAUUUGUUGAUUCGUAUUUUGGAAUCAGCUUUGCCAGGAAAACAAGUUGAUUAUGAGAAGAGUAGUGAGGAUAAGUUGGGAGAAGACGUACACAAGUGCUUGAAGGGUAGGAAAUAUCUCAUUGUCAUGGAUGACAUAUGGGGCAUUGAAGCCUGGAAUGAUAUGCAAAGAUCAUUUCCUAAAGAAUGCAAGGGGAGUAAAGUGUUGUUCACUAGUCGACUAAUUGUUCAACCUGGCAACAUCAGUCAUGUCCCUCAUUAUUUGGAUCCUUUAACAAAAAAUUCGAGUUGGGAGUUGUUACAGAAAAAGGUAUUCGGGAUGAAAUGCUGCCCACCCGAGUUGGUAGGCAUCGGUAAGCAAAUCGCACAAAAAUGUGAUGGCCUACCACUCGCGAUUGUCACGAUAGCUGGCAUUCUGAAAAAGAAAGACAAGACACUCAACGUGUGGAUGGAAGCUGCCAAACAUUUAAGUUCAAUCAUUGCUAAAAAUCAAGAGGGCUGCAUGGAGAUACUUGAACUGAGUUACAAUCACCUACCUCUUCAUUUGAAAGCGUGUUUUCUCUAUAUUGGAGGAUUCGACGAGGAUCGUGAAAUUCCCGUAUGCGAUUUGAUAUGGUUAUGGAUCGCGGAAGGGUUCAUUCAGCAAAGUGAGGGGAAAAGCUUGGAGGAGAUGGCAAAAGAUUACUUACUCGACCUCAUUGAUAGAAGUCUCAUAAUUGUAGCUCGCAAAAAUCCCCUUGGAAGAAUUAAAGCAUGUCGUAUUCAUGAUCUUCUUCGUGAAUUAUGCUUGAAAAAGGUCGAGGAGGAUAAUUUCCUUGUGAAAAUAAACGAGGAUGAUUCUGUUCGAACUUUUGCUUCAAAUAACCAUUGCCGCCUCUUCGUCGGCAGGAAGUUCAAUGCUGGGAAGCACUUUUUGGGGUUUACCAAGAAAAGCCAUCAUGCUCAAAAAUUUCGUACGACUCUUUUCUGCCCAGGGAUGCCAGGCUCGUGGCCAUUGGAUAUAUCUCAGCACUUUCUUGAAGACUUUCUUGAAAACUUUAAACAUCUCAGGGUGUUGAGUUAUAUCUCCUAUGGAAGCCUAGGAAGCCAUCUAGUUCAUUUGAGAUACUUGCACAUGGUUCAUUCUAUGCAAGGUGUGUCUAAGUUUGAAGCCCCGUUUUCCCACCACCUAGAAACCAUUAAGUUCGAAAUAAGAAUGCGACGCGGGCAGCGUAUACUUAAAGAAAGAAGAAUCAUGGGGUUGCCUUACGAUAUAUUUAAGAUGGUAAAGUUGAGGCAUCUUUAUUCUAAAAAGUGUAAAUUUGCAUUCCAAUUUUGCCUCUAUCUUCCUUAUCCUUCUUCUGGAGAAACAACGAGAAUCUAUUUUGACCGUUCCUCCAAGUUGGAUAGCCUACAGACCUUGCACUCAAUAUGUGCUUGUAAGGUGUGUCUAAGUUUCUUGGUUAGGACUCCCAAUCUUAGGAAGCUAGGAAUUAGUGGAAACCUAUAUUCGGAGGAUGGUGUUUUGAUGAUCCCCGACCUAGAGUUCUUAAAAAUCCUUGAGACACUCAAGUUACAGGACGACUACAGUUACCAGGGCAUGAAUUUCACCCUUCAGAAAGUGCUGAAGCUUCCUCCGACUAUUACGCAACUAACUUUGUGGAGCACGCGCUUCGUGUGGGAGGAGCUCUCAAUCUUCCAAACAGCUCUGCCGCGCCUUGAGGUUCUCAAAUUAUUCGGUGGUUGUGUUGGACCCGUUUGGAAAACAAGUGAUGAGGGGUUCUCUCAACUCAAGUACUUGAAGCUUGAAUUUCUGGAUAUUGUGGAGUGGAAUGCUUCUGAAGAUCAAUUUCCGAUGCUUGAGAUCUUAGUGCUUCACCGUUGCAAACGAAUGGGGCAGAUCCCAAUGGAUUUUGCUAAUCUAAAUGAGCUUCGCAAAAUUGAGGUAACGGAAUGCACCAGCUCGGCGGAGAAAUCGGCCAGAGAGAUUCAAGAAGAGCAAAGAAAUAAAAGAGGAGAUGAUUGUUGCCUAAAUCUCCGUUUGAGUGCAAAUUAUUCCUCUCCCUAUGCCUCAUAUUCUUUGUCUAGUCCGCAAGACAGAAUGUUUAAAAUAAUAAAAAUUUGGAUAGAAAAUUUCAGGAGACGAUAUUUUUAGGGACUGAUUUGCGGUGUCGUCCUCCAUAUUCUCCAUCCCAAACCCCAUUCUCAUGGAAAUUUUGAGCAAACUACCCAUCACCACAAUCCGCAAUUGCAGGUGCGUGUGUUCAAAUUUCCGCAACUUAAUUUCAGACCCUGAAUUUGCUGAACUGCACCUCCCUACAUCAAAACCCCACCUCCUGUAUCGCGGCGAUGUGUGUACCGAUGACACCCUUUUCACACUCAAUCUGCCUGAGGGAUUGGAGGUUUUGAGUUCCUGCAAUGGUUUAAUUUGCUUAUACUUGCCUAGGACUUAAAACCCCUAUUAUGUAUGGAAUCCGGUUGUCGGUGAACGUGUGAUUGUACCCCAAACAGAAAAGGCUUUUUUUGAUCAAUGCGGUUCUGGAUUUGGAUUCUGCUCAGGGACUAAUCAAUACAAAGUGUUGCGGUUUUUAACUCCGAGUAUGGGACUAAUCAAAUUGGAGGCUGAAAUCAACACUUUAGGGACUGAUUUGUGGAGGAGAGUUGGAGAUGCUCCGCGCUACAUGCAUUGGUAUUCGGGCGGUUGCUUUUUGAAUGGGGCUCUGCAUUGGAUUGUCCACGGCACCGAGAAUCGCUUCGAAUCGAUGUGUUGUUUUGACUUUGGGAAGGAGCGAUUCCAACCGUUUCCAGGGCCUUCUAACUUUCGUGGACUUCGGGUGGAAUCGAUGAAUAUGGGGGUGUUGAAGGAUGGUCUGUCGGUAUUUUAUCGAACUACUAUCCAAACGCUUGAUUUAUGGGUGAUGAAGGAUUAUGCGGUACAGAAGUCUUAGACUAGAGAUUUCAUGGUUAAAAUCCCACCGGUAGAAACUUUCUGUGGUCCGAUUUAUCGACCAUUAAUGGUUUGGAACAACGGAGGUAACUUGUUGAUUUGUUCUUUGUCCGGUCUGUUUGAAUGGAAUAUGAGGGACAGAAGUUUUAGAAAGCUCAGGUUCAAUAGGGAAUAUCCAUCUGUCUUUAGAGUGAUGAUGUACAUUCCAAGCUUUAUUUCAAUUAAGAAUGCUGCCACAAGGAGAAACUAUUAAGAUGUGCAGAGGCUGAGAUGUUGGAACAUUUUCGGGAGGGAGGACAACUAAACAGAUCCCUUUUGUGGUUGAUUGAUUCAGAUAGAGAGUUACCUUUCUGGUGUAGUGGUGCAGGGACUCCAUGAAAUGUUAAAGCAACCAAUACUCACUGCGUUCGCUGUUUAAGUACACUAGGCAGUCAAUGGUUUGUGUUUCCACAUCAUAGUUUUCGGUGUUGCAACAUUUUCACACGGAUAUAACUGAUGAUAGUUAGAAUAUGGUAAAUUGUCUACCUUUGUUUCUAGUUCUGUCCCAUGUAAGUAACCCGUGGCAAAUUUCUUUGGACAUGGAUUCUACGGGUUUUUGUCUAGGUUUUCGCAAGCACAUUAAUUGGGACUUUCCUUCUCUUUGGAAAGAACAUAAUUGUGGAAAGUGUAAAGCAGAUUUGGUUUCUUAAUGACUGGAAUUCUUGCUUUGGAGACCAAUACGAUCGAUGCUAUUGUAAUUUUGCAUAAGCUGCUGGGGAAAAAAGUCUCGAGUAGGGAUGUGUGUUAGCAGUGCUCAAAGCAGAUAUAUUGAAUGGUUAUGAUACGUCUCUUACAUGGUAUUGCAGAGAUCUCAAUCAUGAAAGCUUACUAUUGAGGUGACAUACGUUAUCCUAACGCUUAUAUUCCAGAAAGCUUCUGUAUUAGCCGAUGUAGGAUGUCACCUCGCCUUCUCUCUUCUGCAAUGCUCAUUCAGCUUCACUUGCCCUCUGCAGGCCGUACAACCACGGGCUACCCCGUCAAUUGAUAUUCCGGCUUCAAUGUCACAACUCAACUCUAGAAGCUAAUUUUUGAGUUAACGCAGGACAUAAUUGCUUGGUCUAGCCGUCUAGGCAAAAGCUGUGUGAGGGUGCUAGCGGCCGGUGGUGGUCCAGGAAUGAGUAGGUCUAACUAGCGGCCAGCGCACAACUCCAAAAAUUGUGAUAAGUGGUGACAUUCAAUAGUGUUGUAAUAUCCAUUGCGUCUCUAAUAGAAUUGGCAAACUAAAUUACACUUCUGAGAUCAUAAA
This is an RNA transcript of Rhododendron vialii, 5773 nucleotides long. It is a transcript of the gene named putative late blight resistance protein homolog R1B-16, with no coding region annotated. The transcript is spliced from 4 exons. The record is from RefSeq and is a predicted model, not a curated record. Lineage: Eukaryota; Viridiplantae; Streptophyta; Magnoliopsida; Ericales; Ericaceae.